UGAACAGAGUAAUCAAGAUUGAUGUAAUAAUGGAGGAUAUUGAGUUUACUGUAUUGAUUACUACUACAUUCAAUAAUAAUUUGCUGAAGCCUGGGCAUACUGUUUUGGAGCAUGUAUGAGAAUAGAAUUAAUGCCAGGGAUAUGGGGACCUUUUAAGUUCAUAAAGGAGCUCUUUGAUCAAAGCACUUCCUGUGGAUCGAGGCCAGUGCUAGCCUGGCUGACAGUGAUGCACCUGGACAGCAACACUUCAUACAGUAGAGACCAUGCCCACCUACAGGAAUAAGUAAUUCAUGAAUGAAAUCCUCACUAAUGUUUAAAGAAACUCAAAGCACUGACAACGCAAUGAGAAGUGGAAAAGCAUACCAGGUAAUAAAAUACAACAUGAGAGAUCAAUGAAGGUAUGCAUCCCAGUGUUACUCAUGAAAAGAUUGGAAGUUCAAUAGUCAAGACCAUCAGUGGGACUAGCUGGCCAGAAUACACUUUACACCAGCCUAGAUUCUACUCCAGUGUAAUGUUGAAUAGAGGUAGUGAGAGGACACAUCCCUGGUUUUUCCUAAUCUUCACAAAAAACAUUGAGUCCUUCACCAUUUUGAAUGCUCAUGUCUGUCUGGAAAUUCUCCGUGGAAGAAUGUGCUAUUUCUUCCAGUGAUUUCUAUUUAUCACUGAGCUGGGGAACACCGUUGGCAAUGUAGAGAAGAUGAAUGCCCUGCAGGUUAGAGACCAACAGCAGGAGUUUCUCCCAUAAAGACAAAUGUCCUAAAGAUUUAUCUGUUUACCUACAUAAUUUUUUUUCUCUUUAAGAUACCCAGGGAUUUUUGUGUCCCAUUUGGCACUGAUUUGUAAGGUACUGUUGUCAAGACAGAAAAAAGAAAAAAAAAAAAAGAAUGUUAAAUAUUUUCAUUCAAUGAAAGAUUGAAUGAAAUGAAAAAUACCUAAUUUUGUAGACAUUUAGGGAGUAGCGGAAACUAUUUAAAAUAGUUAGUGAGUUCCAAAACAAUAUCAUCAAAACCUAAUUACCUUUGAUAAUGUAUAUACAUUAAUGACCAUUCUGAAUUUGCUGUAUGAGAAAACAGCAUGUUUGAUACAAUUUCAACCCUCAUGCAAAGUAAAAAAAAAAAAAUUUAUUCUUUAUAUCUACAAAACGUCUGAGCCAUUUUGGAAAACAUACUAUUUAAAGUAACAUACUUUGAACAUUAACUUUAUAAAUUGGCAUGACCUACACUAUACCUAUUAAAGAAAAACAUGUUAUACAUAAUUAGCAGUAAAUCAUAAAUACUCUCUACAAUUAAUUCCAAAAGAUCUACACAAUUAUCAGAAAGUUCAAAUAGCUUCUGUAAAGUGCAAGUGAUGUCAUAUUGUAAUGUAAAUACUCACAUUUUAAUAAAAUUACAUAUAUUAAUACUGGCGUUUAUAUUAGUUGAAUGUAGUAUUAAGAUAACACUAUGUGCCAGAAAUGGUGGCUAGUGGUCCAUUCGUCCCUCACAGAAGGAUGACAAGGUUAUCUUUUUUUACCCUAAUU
This is a long non-coding RNA of Mustela lutreola (European mink), 1519 nucleotides long. RefSeq lists it as uncharacterized. NCBI's taxonomy places the organism in Eukaryota, Metazoa, Chordata, Mammalia, Carnivora, Mustelidae. The record is from RefSeq and is a predicted model, not a curated record. The transcript is spliced from 6 exons.